UGACAGAUAAACAUAGACCUAUAUGUGGU
Molecule: small RNA, 29 nt
Filed under: Bombyx mori (domestic silkworm)
Lineage: Eukaryota; Metazoa; Arthropoda; Insecta; Lepidoptera; Bombycidae
Description: ovarian small RNA-8056
Source: RNAcentral